UGAUCAGUAAUCAUACUGCAACUAAGAGUAUCUGAAAUAGAAGUGCAAGUGUUGCAAGCGUCAAAAAUAUAGUGUCACGAUCUUUUUAGGCCUUUUCCGUUAAUCGGUUCAUGAUCAAAUAGAUAAAAGUUGCGAUCGAUUAUAAGAACCGCGCAUAUCGAAUUUCAAUAGUGGUUUUUAGUGAUCAAGAGAGAUGUAUAUUGUAAAAGUUUCCGUGAUUCUGCUGUUUAAUUACACUUAUGUCUUUGGUGGGUUAUCUGGUCUCUAUGUGGAUAAUGGAAUCGGACAAACUGUAAUGGAUACGAUGAUGAAUAGUGACGAUCAACUAGAAAUUGAACAUGAGAUAUUAGAGUUGCUAGGACUACCUGAGAGACCUAGAAAAAGACACUUACAUUCAUCAAUCAGCAAAUCAGCUCCUCAGUUUCUUCUAAAUGUGUAUGAUAAAAUAUCAGCGGAUUCUAACAAUUUUCAUCAGCGGCAUAUCCGAAGCGCUAGUAAAGAAGAUGUUUUGUUUACCGACGCAGAUAACAAAGCAAUUGAUCAAAGUGACAUCAUUAUGACAUUUUUGAAUAAAAGUUCGUUCACCACCCGGAAUGAAGGCUCGGUGCGGUUAGUAAUAUCAAACAGUGUUACAUGCAAACGAAAAAGAGGUACAACCAGGAUUAGUUUUUUAAAGUAAAAGUUUCAUCUGAAUACCCAACUAACCAUAUCUCAGUGACAUUGUCCCACUCUGAACCCACACCUAAAGCUAUUUUGUGAUUAUAUGGUUACUUUGGUACUCACAUGAAAUGUUGUGCAAGUACCACAAGUUCAACAACGCCCAACUAUGGACAGCUUAAUGUUAAUACCAUUUACUCUUUGAAUCAGCUUACACCAACAUGAUAAUCUACUAAGAAACAUCUAA
Ochlerotatus camptorhynchus is the source of this 904-nucleotide long non-coding RNA. RefSeq lists it as uncharacterized. Lineage: Eukaryota; Metazoa; Arthropoda; Insecta; Diptera; Culicidae. The transcript is spliced from 3 exons. The record is from RefSeq and is a predicted model, not a curated record.